UGCUCCUGAACUUUCUCGUAGGCUCACCUGUGCCCUACCUUGUAAAAUCCAGUUUUGGCUCUAAGAACUGUGUAUGAUUAGUACUGCUUUUUUCAGGGAAAAAUUGCGUAAUUAACUAAAUUCUGAUGAGACACAAGAGGAACAACAUAUGGUCAAAGAUUUAAACGCAACGAAUGGAAUAAUAAGAAUAUUAGAAAAAAUUUGGAGGAUUUUUAACCUCAAAGCAGAAGUUGGCACUGAUGAGUAAUCUGUAUGUUUAAUGUAGGUAUUAAAAGACUUCAGAAAUGAGAUAUAAAUAAAACCCCAAAGCCCUGCAAGUGUUUUCCAUGAAAGGAGGCAUCCAGUGGGAGGACAAUGGAUCCACAGAGGUGGUUCAUGAAGAGCUACUAUUCUCGCCUUUGUCUUCGCCACUGAGGAGAUCAAAAAGAACUCUCAUCUUCUUCCCAACCUGACCUUGGGUUAUGAUAUCUACAAUUCCUUUGAAAGUGACCACAGGACUCUGGAAAAUACCCUCUUUUGGCUGUCUGGAGGGAGUUGAUCUGUCCUUAAUUACAACUGCCAGAGACAGAGGAAAUCUCUGGCCAUAGUUACAGGAAUUGCACGGGCAUUUUCAGCUGAGAUCGGAACACUUCUGGAGCUGGACAAAAUCCCAUAGGGUCACAUAUGGUCCUUUCGAUUCUUCAUUUGGUAAUAAAGACCGAUUUUCAUCUCUUUAUCGGAUGGACAGUCAUGACAGCUAUCUCACCCAUGCAAUGAUUGGACUAUUGCUGCAUUUUGACUGGACGUGGGUAUCACUCUCUUCUGUUGAAGAAAGAGAAAGUGAGCAGUUUAUUUGGGACCUGAAAGCAGAGAUGAUACUGAAAGGUUCAAAUUCAUGUGGUACAGCUAUCCAAGAGACUGUUAGGCUACAGAGAAGUUCAUAAGGCUGUAUUCCACUUCGAAGAGAAAGACAAUGCCAGGCCCCAGUGCUUAUCCAAGGCCAGGAAUAGGAAGUUGUUCUGAAGGACUUCUGGAGAAAUGCGAGCUUCCUGAGAGCAGAGGCUGUGUGUGGCAGUGUUGACUAAGUCUUGUGAGUGCAACUAAGGCAGAGGAAGGACAACUUACUGCAGCUUUGGGCUUUUAAUUGCCCAAUUGCCCUGAUAGAACAUAUUUCUUAUAAUGACCUCUCUCACUAGUCACAUAUUCAUCUAUGUAAUAAAUGCACUCUGAUUCAUUCAAAACAGAAUAAGAAAAAAUACUCAUAACAAUUAAAUUCAUGUUCUUGAUGCUGGUUGCCUUUUCUUGCUGGUAUUUAUAACUGUCUCCAUCACCCAUUCCUAUUCACUUCACCCUCAGUAAGCGCCUCAGUGGUUCCUGGAUCUUCACCUGGUUGGAUAACUCUCUUUUUUAUUCCUGAAGGAUCUAAUCAUUAGUAAUCCUGCUUGGUUUGUUUUUCUGUAGUUUUCUAUUGAUUUGAAUCAUGAGAUAUACUAAUACUAAGAAUGCCCUAAGGAAUCUCCUGAUUUCCAGACUUAGGCUUCCUCACCUUCAUUGCAGAGUGCAGAUCAAUUUCCCCUUGGUAAUCAGGGUCAGUUAUCUCAGCCAGUACAGAAAUUUUAUUUUGUGAAUCUUGGCAAA
Cervus elaphus (red deer) is the source of this 1617-nucleotide long non-coding RNA. RefSeq lists it as uncharacterized. The record is from RefSeq and is a predicted model, not a curated record. NCBI's taxonomy places the organism in Eukaryota, Metazoa, Chordata, Mammalia, Artiodactyla, Cervidae. The transcript is spliced from 4 exons.